UACGUAGGGGGCAAGCGUUGUCCGGAUUUAUUGGGCGUAAAGGGCUCGUAGGCGGUUUGUCGCGUCGGGAGUGAAAAACUUGGGCUUAACUCAGGGCUUGCUUUCGAUACGGGCAGACUAGAGGUAUGCAGGGGAGAACGGAAUUCCUGGUGUAGCGGUGAAAUGCGCAGAUAUCAGGAGGAACACCGGUGGCGAAGGCGGUUCUCUGGGCAUGAUCUGACGCUGAGGAGCGAAAGCGUGGGGAGCGAACAGG
RNAcentral lists this ribosomal RNA (253 nucleotides) under uncultured bacterium. RNAcentral's name for it is "partial 16S ribosomal RNA". It matches the Rfam family "Bacterial small subunit ribosomal RNA", at positions 524 to 776 of the family's 1533-position model. The record is from RNAcentral.